CUUCUUUGGUUGAUAAAAAUGUAGUAUCUAACAAAAAUGUUGAGAAGGAGUUUUCUUUGAAUAAAAAUGGUGAAAUGGGUUCAACUUUCAAGAAGAGAAAGAAUAUCGUCGAUCAAUCUUUGGAAGAUACCGCAAGCUCUCCUCUCAAUACUCCCAAGGAGAAGAGAAAGGCAAUAGUUGAGGACAAAAAGAAUUGA
This is a non-coding RNA of Vicia faba (fava bean), 197 nucleotides long. The record is from the annotation of a GenBank genome assembly. Lineage: Eukaryota; Viridiplantae; Streptophyta; Magnoliopsida; Fabales; Fabaceae.